AUUGAACGCUGGCGGCAUGCUUUACACAUGCAAGUCGAACGGUAACAGGCCGCAAGGUGCUGACGAGUGGCGAACGGGUGAGUAAUGCAUCGGAACGUGCCCAGUCGUGGGGGAUAACGCAGCGAAAGCUGUGCUAAUACCGCAUACGUUCUAUGGAUGAAAGCGGGGGACCGUAAGGCCUCGCGCGAUUGGAGCGGCCGAUGUCAGAUUAGGUAGUUGGUGGGGUAAAGGCUCACCAAGCCAACGAUCUGUAGCUGGUCUGAGAGGACGACCAGCCACACUGGGACUGAGACACGGCCCAGACUCCUACGGGAGGCAGCAGUGUGGAAUUUUGGACAAUGGGCGCAAGCCUGAUCCAGCAAUGCCGCGUGCAGGAAGAAGGCCUUCGGGUUGUAAACUGCUUUUGUACGGAACGAAACGGCGAGCACUAAUACAGUUUGCUAAUGACGGUACCGUAAGAAUAAGCACCGGCUAACUACGUGCCAGCAGCCGCCGUAA
RNAcentral lists this ribosomal RNA (498 nucleotides) under uncultured bacterium. RNAcentral's name for it is "partial 16S ribosomal RNA". It matches the Rfam family "Bacterial small subunit ribosomal RNA", at positions 30 to 523 of the family's 1533-position model. The record is from RNAcentral.